This 168-nucleotide ribosomal RNA is filed under the name uncultured bacterium. Its description in RNAcentral is "partial 16S rRNA". It matches the Rfam family "Bacterial small subunit ribosomal RNA", at positions 352 to 511 of the family's 1533-position model. The record is from RNAcentral.
CAGUAGGGAAUCUUCCACAAUGGGCGCAAGCCUGAUGGAGCAACGCCGCGUGAGUGAAGAAGGUUUUCGGAUCGUAAAGCUCUGUUGUAAGAGAAGAACGUGUGUGAGAGUGGAAAGUUCACACAGUGACGGUAACUUACCAGAAAGGGACGGCUAACUACGUGCCAG